CUGGUUACCUGAGCCAGGUCUGGGGCCAGGCAGCAUGCAUUCUAGUCCUGCCUGGGACACUCACUGGCCUCAAGAUCUUGGGCAAAACAGCUGACUGCUUUGCACCUCAGUUUCCUCAUCUGUAAGGUCCAGGACUACCCACUUCCCUUGGAAUGGUGUUGCCAUCACUGUUCUGGCACCGGAGAAAGGAUUCUACAUCGUUAGGAGAAAAGAAAAAGGAGAAUUUGGGCUUGCACUGAGAGGAUUACCUUUGGUGGUCUGGAAGUGGUGAUUGGUGAUAAUGAAACCUACCUUGCUGUUUCAUGUUGAGGAAUCACUGUGAGAAGGUAAGGCCGUAACAAUUUGUCGGAAGGAGAAGGAAGGUCAAAGCUUUGUUGAAGAGCUUUAUGCUAUUGGCCAAACAGAAACAUAGAGCCCUGUGUGUGGUAACUCUCAGGGGACAUGGUUGCCUCGUGGAUAAAAACGUGAGAAUUAGAAGAACAGAAAAAGCCAGCAGGAAAACUCAGAGGAAAGAGUCAGAGAGAACAAGGAUGUUGUCUGUCUCCAGCAUAAUUGUGUAGAGCCUGGGAUUCAUUGCUAGUGACAUUCCCUGGCUUCUCCCUCAGUGUGACGUCAUGUGCUCUGUGAUGUUUAUUGCACUGCAUUCCAGGGAUGCUGCACAGAGCCAUGUCCAGUGUCAGAAACCUUGGAAAAUAGUCCUCGGUUUAAUUUUAACUUUUUAUAUAAACAGUGACCUAAUUUGAGGAAGGCUCGGUCUGGCCAGGCAUCCCCGCUCCCACAUUUCCUCCUCUUCACUCCCUCCUUCUGCCCUUAGUCAAACUGUCUCGCCUUCAUCUCCCAUAUGGACUUUGCAAACAAGCAAGGGGGAUGUGUGAGCUCAGCUAACUUGAAAAGAGAAGACGUGUGCCAGCGAAGCAAAACACUCCAGCCAAGUCAUGCACCUCUGCGGGAGGGAGCCACCUCCUCAGCUCUCAUCGUGAAAUGUUAUCUCACCAGGGCAGAUGGAGGUACAGACAGAGGACUCCAACGCAACACAAGCAGCUGCCUGUCCAGAAGAGAGCCCUUUCUCUCCCUCCCAGUCCCAGCUCCAGCUGUAUUUUCUUUCUUUCUUUCUUGAGCAAGAGGUCAGGUUCUCUCUGUAUGCUUUGUGCAAAUUAAGUGAGCUGUGAGUGCUGCCUGCGGCCGAAGGAACUACCCUCUGGUCUAUGGUUCAUCCUUCCUUCACUCCAACCACCACUGAGGGAGCAGAGCCCUCCCUGCCCAAAUGCACAAGUGGGCAGCACCUCCGAGAACACAGAAGAAUAUGAAACGACCCUUCUAAUUACUCAGGUGCAAGCAGAGGAGCUAACCAUCCCACCGGGAGCCCACCCAUGAGUGAUGAAUUCCAGUGACUGAGCCCAGUGUUGGGGGCUAGGGUAGAGGAAGAGUCCCUUGUGGACACGGUGGGAGGGAGGGAGGCAUGAGGGGACAAGCAGGAUGCCCUGACAGAUUUUAACCCAGAAGCAUGAAUCCAGGUCUGAGGUCAGCAAACGUUUUCUGUAAAGGGCCAGAUAGUAAAUAAUUUGUACUCUUUGUGGGCCAUCCAGUCUCUGUCUACUUGACUCUGCCAUCGUAGGGCAAAAACAACCACAGACAAUAAAUAAACGAACGGGCGUGUCUUGUGUUCCAAUAAAAGAUGGUUUACAAACA
RNAcentral lists this long non-coding RNA (1689 nucleotides) under Homo sapiens (human). RNAcentral describes it as "HSALNT0332712". Lineage: Eukaryota; Metazoa; Chordata; Mammalia; Primates; Hominidae. The record is from RNAcentral.